CAGAGAAUCAAGCGGUUGCCUUCUGAGGGCUGAAGCGUAUAUCAGUACCAGAACCAGCUGGGGACUUUUCUCAGAUCUUCACUGUGAGAACCUGCUAGAGUCCUUGGAGAUAAAACUCACGAAAGUGUAAAGAUAGCUCUAUGGCAAGGUCUUCUUGGAGUUUUUAAUUCUCAGACUUAACCACAUUCAGCUUCCAGCAAUUCAUCAAUUAGAGUUCAGGUUUUCCUAACCUUGUUCUGGUUCCUGCAGAGGCACAAAGAUUACUGCUUGUGAGUUUCUGCUCUGGAAUGGAUGUUUUCUUUUAAAAAUGGUUUAUUGAAGUAUCAUGUACCUAUCUUAAGUGUACAGCACGAUGAUGUGUAUGCCCAUGUAACCAUCACCUAGAAGGAUGAGAACCACAAGCAUGAGAACAUGAGGAUAAAUACACUUUGGGGAAAAAGAAAACAGACAGAGGCAGCAGAGAAGGAAGACGAGAAGAAGAGAAAAAGAGAAGUAGGAAGAGGAUGAAUUCAUUUCGCUUAUCUGGCAAAUGUGUAAUCUGAGUAAUAGAGCACAGCUGCAAGGUCAUAAGAUUGAUACGUAUAUAUUACACAACCAUGUAUUCCCAAGGAUGUAAGACAUGGAGUAACAACUGCCUUUCUUCUCGCUUCUGUAAGUACGCUUCCUGCAUCACGUAAUUCCCACCACUGAUUGUUUAAAAGGUGGCUGCUCUCUUUGUUCGGGGCUCAGACUUUCCUGGACGCUAGUCCUACUGAGCCAGGUGCUCACCUUAAUAAAGGCUCUCCUGAACUCUGUUCAGUCUCUCCCAUCUCUGAUUGUCCCGCUACAAGACAGUUACCAAAUCCUCCAUCUGCAUAACUCCAUCAGCAAACCCUGCAUUUACCUUCUGGGACAAUGUGGUACUUUCCCUACAUUUUUCUCCCUGUCUCAUCCUUUCAUCUAUUUAUUGCAUAUCUUAAAGUAGAUGUUUUUCACCAACUACACACUGGUAUCUGGUAUUAAUGAGGAUGUCAGUAAAUAAUAUUGGCACCACAGAAAAUAAGUGUAUGUCUGUUCUUUGUCUUCCCAAAUACUAAUCUGUAAAUUUCUUUAGGUUGUGACUUGAGGUCAUCAUAAUCAUUACCUUCUUCCCAAUCCUGAUUCAAACCUUGACCCAUAAUAGGUGCUUAAUACCUAAACAUAUGAAGGA
Molecule: long non-coding RNA, 1189 nt
Filed under: Homo sapiens (human)
Lineage: Eukaryota; Metazoa; Chordata; Mammalia; Primates; Hominidae
Description: HSALNT0398814
Source: RNAcentral